GACGAACGCUGGCGGCGUGCUUAACACAUGCAAGUCGAACGGAAAGGCCCUGCUUUUGUGGGGUGCUCGAGUGGCGAACGGGUGAGUAACACGUGAGUAACCUGCCCUUGACUUUGGGAUAACUUCAGGAAACUGGGGCUAAUACCGGAUAGGAGCUCCUGCUGCAUGGUGGGGGUUGGAAAGUUUCGGCGGUUGGGGAUGGACUCGCGGCUUAUCAGCUUGUUGGUGGGGUAGUGGCUUACCAAGGUUUUGACGGGUAGCCGGCCUGGGAGGGUGACCGGCCACAUUGGGACUGCGAUACGGCCCAGACUCCUACGGGAGGCAGCAGUGGGGAAUAUUGCACAAUGGGCGGAAGCCUGAUGCAGCAGCGCCGCGUGCGGGAUGACGGCCUUCGAGUUGUAAACCGCUUUCGCCUGUGACGAAGCGUGAGUGACGGUAAUGGGUAAAGAAGCACCGGCUAACUACGUG
Molecule: ribosomal RNA, 468 nt
Filed under: uncultured bacterium
Lineage: Bacteria
Description: partial 16S ribosomal RNA
Rfam family: Bacterial small subunit ribosomal RNA
Source: RNAcentral